RNAcentral lists this ribosomal RNA (465 nucleotides) under uncultured Klebsiella sp. Its description in RNAcentral is "bacterial SSU rRNA". It matches the Rfam family "Bacterial small subunit ribosomal RNA", at positions 338 to 795 of the family's 1533-position model. The record is from RNAcentral. Lineage: Bacteria; Pseudomonadati; Pseudomonadota; Gammaproteobacteria; Enterobacterales; Enterobacteriaceae.
CCUACGGGCGGCUGCAGUGGGGAAUAUUGCACAAUGGGCGCAAGCCUGAUGCAGCCAUGCCGCGUGUGUGAAGAAGGCCUUCGGGUUGUAAAGCACUUUCAGCGGGGAGGAAGGCGGUGAGGUUAAUAACCUCAUCGAUUGACGUUACCCGCAGAAGAAGCACCGGCUAACUCCGUGCCAGCAGCCGCGGUAAUACGGAGGGUGCAAGCGUUAAUCGGAAUUACUGGGCGUAAAGCGCACGCAGGCGGUCUGUCAAGUCGGAUGUGAAAUCCCCGGGCUCAACCUGGGAACUGCAUUCGAAACUGGCAGGCUAGAGUCUUGUAGAGGGGGGUAGAAUUCCAGGUGUAGCGGUGAAAUGCGUAGAGAUCUGGAGGAGUACCGGUGGCGAAGGCGGCCCCCUGGACAAAGACUGACGCUCAGGUGCGAAAGCGUGGGGAGCAAACAGGAUUAGAUACCCUAGUAGUC